GGUGAAGAACGUAGCGAAAUGCGAUAAGUAAUGUGAAUUGCAGAAUUCAGUGAAUCAUCGAAUCUUUGAACGCACAUUGCGCCCGCCAGUAUUCUGGCGGGCAUGCCUGUUCGAGCGUCAUUACAACCCUCAUGCCCCCGGGCCUGGCGUUGGGGAUCGGCGGAGCCCCCCGUGGGCACACGCCGUCCCCCAAAUGCAGUGGCGGUCCCGCCGCAGCUUCCAUCGCGUAGUAGCUAACACCUCGCGACUGGAGAGCGGCGCGGCCACGCCGUAAAACACCCAACUCUUCUGAAGUUGACCUCGAAUCAGGUAGGAAUACCCGCUGAACUUAAGCAUAUCAAUAAGCGGAGGA
Molecule: unclassified non-coding RNA, 352 nt
Filed under: soil metagenome
Description: partial contains 5.8S ribosomal RNA, internal transcribed spacer 2, and large subunit ribosomal RNA
Rfam family: 5.8S ribosomal RNA (bases 3-120)
Source: RNAcentral